AGGACGAACGCUGGCGGCGUGCUUAACACAUGCAAGUGGAGCGACGAACCAGGGCUUGCCCUGGGGCAGAGCCGCGAACGGGUGAGUAACACGUGGGUUACCUGCCUCGAUGACCGGGACAACCCGAGGAAACUCGGGCUAAUACCGGAUGUGCCCGCAAGGGGAAAGGAAGCUUCGGCCUCCGCAUCGAGAUGGGCCCGCGGCCCAUUAGCUUGUUGGUGAGGUAACGGCUCACCAAGGCUUCGAUGGGUAGCUGGUCUGAGAGGACGAUCAGCCACACUGGGACUGAGACACGGCCCAGACUCCUACGGGAGGCAGCAGUGGGGAAUCUUGCGCAAUGCGCGAAAGCGUGACGCAGCAACGCCGCGUGGGGAAGAAGGCUUUCGGGUGUAAACCCCUUUCAGUUGGGACGAAGCUUCGUCGGUGAAUAGCCGGCCGGAGUGACGGUACCUUCACAAGAAGCACCGGCUAACUACGUGCCAGCAGCCGCGGU
This 493-nucleotide ribosomal RNA is filed under the name uncultured bacterium. Its description in RNAcentral is "SSU rRNA". It matches the Rfam family "Bacterial small subunit ribosomal RNA", at positions 26 to 521 of the family's 1533-position model. The record is from RNAcentral.